This 253-nucleotide ribosomal RNA is filed under the name uncultured bacterium. RNAcentral describes it as "partial 16S ribosomal RNA". It matches the Rfam family "Bacterial small subunit ribosomal RNA", at positions 524 to 776 of the family's 1533-position model. The record is from RNAcentral.
UACGGGGGGGGCAAGCGUUGUUCGGAAUUACUGGGCGUAAAGGGCUUGUAGGUGGCCAACUAAGUCAGACGUGAAAUCCCUCGGCUUAACCCGGGAACUGCGUCUGAUACUGGAUGGCUGGAGUGUGGGAGAGGGAUGCGGAAUUCCAGGUGUAGCGGUGAAAUGCGUAGAUAUCUGGAGGAACACCGGUGGCGAAGGCGGCAUCCUGGACCAUUACUGACACUGAAAAGCGAAAGCCAGGGGAGCAAACGGG